RNAcentral lists this ribosomal RNA (1921 nucleotides) under human oral metagenome. RNAcentral describes it as "bacterial LSU rRNA". It matches the Rfam family "Bacterial large subunit ribosomal RNA", at positions 979 to 2925 of the family's 2925-position model. The record is from RNAcentral.
GGGAGUCAGACUAUGUGAGAUAAGUUUCAUAGUCGAAAGGGAAACAGCCCAGACCGUCAGCUAAGGUCCCAAAAUAUAGGUUAAGUGGAAAAGGAUGUGGGGUUGCACAGACAGCUAGGAUGUUGGCUUAGAAGCAGCCAUUCAUUCAAAGAGUGCGUAAUAGCUCACUAGUCGAGUGACCCUGCGCCGAAGAUAAACGGGGCUAAAACCUAUUACCGAAGCUACGGAUACUUAAUGUAUGGUAGAGGAGCGUCGUAUACGGGUUGAAGCAGUACUGUAAGGUAUUGUGGACUUUAUACGAGAGAGAAUGUUGGCAUGAGUAGCGCGAGGCAGGUGAGAAUCCUGCCCACCGAAAAUCUAAGGUUUCCUGAGGAAGGUUCGUCCACUCAGGGUUAGUCGGGGCCUAAGCCGAGGGCGAAAGCCAUAGGCGAUGGAUAACAGGUAGAAAUUCCUGUACCACCGAAGGUUGUUUGAAUGAUGUGGGGACACAGGAGGAUAAGCUGAGCACGCCGUUGGUAGAGCGUGUCCAAGCGUCAAGGGAGUAUGGAUAGGCAAAUCCGUUCAUAUAUAUUCUGAGGCGUGAUGGGGUGGUCAAUAGACCGGAAGCAGCUGAUUUCACACUGUCAAGAAAAGCCGCUAAUUAGACCUAAGGUGCCCGUACCGCAAACCGACACAGGUAGAUGAGGAGAGAAUCCUAAGGUGAGCGAGAGAACUAUUGUUAAGGAACUCGGCAAAAUAACCCCGUAACUUCGGGAGAAGGGGUGCCUGCUUCGGCAGGCCGCAGUGAAAAGGCCCAGGCAACUGUUUACCAAAAACACAGGUCUCUGCAAAAGCGAAAGCUGAAGUAUAGGGGCUGACGCCUGCCCGGUGCUGGAAGGUUAAGGGGACGUGUCAUCGCAAGAGAAGCACUGAACUUAAGCCCCAGUAAACGGCGGCCGUAACUAUAACGGUCCUAAGGUAGCGAAAUUCCUUGUCGGGUAAGUUCCGACCCGCACGAAAGGCGUAAUGAUCUGGGCACUGUCUCAACAAUAGACUCGGUGAAAUUGUAGUACCGGUAAAGAUGCCGGUUACCCGCAGCAGGACGGAAAGACCCCGUGGAGCUUUACUGUAGCUUGAUAUUGAGUUUCGGCGUUGCAUGUACAGGAUAGGUGGGAGACUAUGAAGCAAGUACGCCAGUAUUUGCGGAGUCAUCGUUGGGAUACCACCCUUGUAACGCUGGAAUUCUAACCAUGUACCGUGAUCCGGUGCUGAGACAGUGUCAGGUGGGCAGUUUGACUGGGGCGGUCGCCUCCUAAAGAGUAACGGAGGCGCCCAAAGGUUCCCUCAGCGCGGACGGAAAUCGCGCGAAGAGUGCAAAGGCAAAAGGGAGCUUGACUGCGAGACAUACAGGUCGAGCAGGGACGAAAGUCGGGCUUAGUGAUCCGGUGGUUCCGAGUGGAAGGGCCAUCGCUCAACGGAUAAAAGCUACCCCGGGGAUAACAGGCUGAUACCCCCCAAGAGUUCACAUCGACGGGGGUGUUUGGCACCUCGAUGUCGGCUCGUCUCAUCCUGGGGCUGGAGUAGGUCCCAAGGGUUGGGCUGUUCGCCCAUUAAAGAGGUACGCGAGCUGGGUUCAGAACGUCGUGAGACAGUUCGGUCCCUAUCCGCUGUGGGCGUUGGAAAUUUGAGUGGAGCUGUCCUUAGUACGAGAGGACCGGGAUGGACAUACCUCUGGUGCACCAGUUGUUCUGCCAAGGGCAUAGCUGGGUAGCCACGUAUGGACGGGAUAAGCGCUGAAAGCAUCUAAGUGCGAAGCCCCCCACAAGAAUAGAUUUCCUCCUUUAAGGUAAGACCCGUGGGAGACUACCACGUGAUAGGUCAGAGGUGUAAGUGCAGUAAUGUAUUAAGCUGACUGAUACUAAUAGGUCGAGCACUUGACCAG